RNAcentral lists this long non-coding RNA (421 nucleotides) under Vitis vinifera (wine grape). Its description in RNAcentral is "long non-coding RNA (VVIN_LNC007947)". Lineage: Eukaryota; Viridiplantae; Streptophyta; Magnoliopsida; Vitales; Vitaceae. The record is from RNAcentral.
CGUGCAAUACUUUCUAUCUUGAAUGUGAUGGACAUUAGUUACUCUUACUUGAUUGAAAGGUGAUCUAUAGAGUUGUGUGUAGCUGAACUAUAAAUUGGGUUGCGAGAAUAUUCUUGGACAUAUUCAUUAAAAUUUAAUACACAAGAAAUACAUUACAUGGGAAUAAGAACUUCUGGAAUCUAACAUCAAUUGAGCCACUGGUAUAAUCAUUUUAUACAAUCAUAUGUUCAAUUAACAGAAAUAUAAAUAAAGAUGCUAUGAUGAUGAACAACUACAAUAUGAAUUUUUAUUAAACUAUACAUUCAUAAUAAGUUGAACAUAUAGACAAUUAUUUUUACUCUAGUUCUGAAAUUAUUGCCAACUCUUGUUGAAAAACUCUACCUGGCUUGCUCAAGUUUGUUGGAACUGUUGAAGCAAANNN